CAAUAGCGUAUAUUUAAGUUGUUGCAGUUAAAAAGCUCGUAGUCGGAUUUUGGCUGAGAACGAUCGGUCCGCCGUUAGGUGUGCACUGAUUGGUCUCAGCUUCCUGGUGAGGAGGUGUGCUUCACGGCCACUUAGUCACCGUGGUUACUUUGAAAAAAUUAGAGUGUUCAAAGCGGGCUUCCGCUUGAAUAUAUUAGCAUGGAAUAACACCAUAGGACUCCUGUCCUAUUUCGUUGGUCUCGGGACGGGAGUAAUGAUUAAGAGGAACAGUUGGGGGCAUUCGUAUUUCAUUGUCAGAGGUGAAAUUCUUGGAUUUAUGAAAGACGAACUUCUGCGAAAGCAUUUGCCAAGGAUGUUUUCAUUGA
This 365-nucleotide ribosomal RNA is filed under the name uncultured eukaryote. RNAcentral describes it as "partial 18S ribosomal RNA". It matches the Rfam family "Eukaryotic small subunit ribosomal RNA", at positions 592 to 976 of the family's 1831-position model. The record is from RNAcentral.